GGUCCCAUAGCUCAGUAGGAUAGAGCGCAGGAUUCCUAAUCCUGAGGCCAUUGGUUCGAAUCCAAUUGGGAUCACCA
Molecule: transfer RNA, 77 nt
Filed under: Pararhizobium capsulatum DSM 1112
Lineage: Bacteria; Pseudomonadati; Pseudomonadota; Alphaproteobacteria; Hyphomicrobiales; Rhizobiaceae
Description: tRNA-Arg
Rfam family: tRNA
About the family: Transfer RNA (tRNA) molecules are approximately 80 nucleotides in length.
Source: RNAcentral